CACGAAGUUAGCCGGGGCUUAUUCUCCUGGUACAGUCAUUAUCUUCCCAGGUAAAAGAGCUUUACAACCCUAAGGCCUUCAUCACUCACGCGGCAUGGCUGGAUCAGGGUUGCCCCCAUUGUCCAAUAUUCCCCA
RNAcentral lists this ribosomal RNA (135 nucleotides) under uncultured bacterium. Its description in RNAcentral is "partial 16S ribosomal RNA". The record is from RNAcentral.